Molecule: long non-coding RNA, 16971 nt
Filed under: Capsicum annuum
Lineage: Eukaryota; Viridiplantae; Streptophyta; Magnoliopsida; Solanales; Solanaceae
Description: long non-coding RNA (CANN_LNC004119)
Source: RNAcentral
AAAAGAAAGGAAACUUUCAGAGAAAUAUUAAUUCUUUAGUAUAAAUUUUGUUCUUGUUUUAAAAGUUCAUCGAAAUCAUCAAAGUAGUGGUGAAGCUCCGGUGGUGAUCAAUAUGCCAACGAUUAACUCGUGGUCCUGUUUUGCUGCUCUCCAAAAGGUAACAUUCCUUUUUCGUUUCAAAUUUCGAUCUUUUCUGCUUCAUUUCAAUUUUCUGUAGCGAUAACUAAUUUUUUUGUGUGGUAACAUUCUGUGCUGAGAUUGUUUGCUGGUAGAUGGCUUUAAUAGCCAUAGGUUGCAUUCAUGAUAGUUGUCAUUACACUUUAUUUGAAUCGAUAUGUUUGCUGGGAAAUUUUUGGCUAGUUGAGUUCGUUUGUAAGUUUCAUGUGCCUAGGUCGGAGGUUGAAAAUUCAGGUAAAGAUUGGAAAUUUGUGCGAUUUUAGUUGUUGGUGAACGAAGUUUCCAUAUGUGUAGGAUCCAGUGAAGAGCCAGACCACAUUGAGUGUAGUUUGUGUGGUUUCAUCUUGCAUUCAUUCAAGUAGAUGCAUAAAUAGCUUAAAAAUGUAUGAACUCAAUUGUGUGUCGGUCAUGUAUACAUAUAUGUGGUGUGUAAAGUUGCUAAUUUUUCAACUAGUAUUAAUUUUUGAUUUCAUAAUUUCAAAUGUAUAAAUGGGAAAAAUUUGGCCACUUGUGUUGGUUAGUAAGUCUCAUAUGCUUAAGAUAGAGGUUGAAAUUUAGGUAAAAUCUAAACCUUUUUUACUGUUUAGUUAGUGGUGGAUUCACAUCUCGGUAAACUAAGCUCUCUUUAUGAGUAAGGUUCGUUAAAGGGAUGGACCACAUUGAGUUUGUUGUUUGCUGAACCUACAUUUCAUUAACAUGAUCUCUUUAUUAAUCUUUAGGAUCGAUUUGAAUAUUCGUCUGAAGCUGAAAACUAAAAAGGUUAUUUGAAAUCCAAGUCUAGUUAAUAAGUCGGCUUCUGUUAGUUGAUUCAUGGCUUUAUUCAUUUUCCUGCACCUAUCAAUGCAGAAGAAAGAGUUAAUUUUCAACAUAUGGUUUGUCAGAAUGUUGGCUAGUUUUUCUAUCCAUUGUAGUUCAUGUUCGAAAUCACAUGUGGCAAUGUUCUUUUCAUCCUCAUCGGCAUCAAAGCUUCAUUAUUUGCAGUGAAUUGUUUUGUGGGAUAACGAAGUAACAAUAUUUACAUAUGAUUGGAUAUUUUUUGUCCAUUUCAUGUUCUUGUACUGUAUCCAAUAUAACUGUUUGCUUGUAGAACACUGUAUAAGUUUACUAGCCUUGAUUUGUUCUACUUUGAGGAAAUUUUUCUAGUCAAGCUUUACCUGUGCUCCACCUAAAUGCUUCUUUGAUUAUCUAAGUGCUUAUGUGAUAGUAAAUAAUUUGUCCGUUUGCCUGAUUGUAGUGUUCAUUGAGGAUAAGUAUACCUAGACAUCAUGUGAAUUUGGUUUCUCAUUAGCUAAAGAAUUAUAGACUGCUAUGCCCAAACAGAUAGGGAAAUACUCCUAAUGUGAAUUUGAUUUAUUAAAUUUUCCUGCAUGUUGUGUAUAAAUUUGGUCUUUUAUAGCUCAGUAAGUUUAUUCGAAUGCACCCUGAUAAAUAGGUAAAUUAUCUCCUAUUGAACAUUUGAUUGAAGUUUUAACUUCGCUGAACUAACGUGCCCAUCUCAUAUAUUUAAUAUUUGCCCGCUAUUAAAUAGGAUGCAUGAUAUUUUAGUAUUUUUGAAUAUUAGUUUGAACGUGUAUUAAUUACUUUAUUUUUCCUUCUUUCCUUUUGUAUGUGGAAACAUUCGAGUCUAAAUGGACUCUAUUCCCAUUGUUGCAUUAUCGAUGUGGGCCAUUGGAGCCAAUCCCUCAUGAGUCGAUUUCGAAGUCCCUAAGGAGACAAUAUCAUAGUACACGGAUUACAAGGAAUCAAAAGAAGAAGAACGGGUUAAAAACCCACAUUUGAAGCGGCCAAGAGACUUGAAAGUCUCGGUUUCCAUUUUAUUUAUUAUUGUUGUCUUUAUUUAUUCAGUUAUUAUUUUUAUUCAUUCAUCUGGGCCACGAAUCCAAAGUUGUAAAUUUAAUAUAGGUGGAGUGAGACUCAAGCCAAACGCUCAAAAACUAGAUUAGAACAGGUGAAAAUGGAUCGAAAGCCCAACUAGACUAGGACAGGUCUCAUUGAUUUGGGCCCAAUGAUCUAAAUCCCUUCCUUUCUCCCUUUCUCCUUUUUCUUUAUUCUUGUUUGCUUUACGUGUUUUGUGAACCUAGUUAAAUCCUUAGUCAAGUCGCUAAAAAAUUGGUUUUGCACAAACACCAAAGUAUUCCUAAAAUUGCUUUCUUUCAAAAAUCAACUUCUUUCAAGGUUAAUCAAAGAUGAUUUUCAAACAGUUCAGAUAACCGCAAGUUAGCGGACGUUUUAGGUGCCUAACACCUUCCUAAAACGUUAAUAGGAACCACUUAUAUAGAAUCUCUAACUUAAAUGAUUUUCCUAUUUUGAAUAGUUUGAAGUAACUCUUUAAAGGUUUCUUAAUUCCUUUUCAAAAUUAAGUGGCGACUCUCUCAAAAAGUCAAAAUUUCUUCGCAAAACAGAAAUGGCGACUCUGUUGGGGAACUUUAACUAGGUUCUAACCAAAUGUUUGAUUUCGUCUCUUGAUUAACUGUUAAUGUGUUUAUAUAUUUCAAUUUUGUAAAGUUUAACUAUCGCAUCUCAUGACAUAUUCCUGCAUUAUUUAAACUAUUUUGGGGUUUCGUGGAUGUCCCGGCCCCUAUUGUUCAAUUUCAAUAAUGUGUUGGAAAUACGAACGAUUUAUUAACACGUGAGUCGUCGAAUGUUGUUCGUAUUUUCAAACUCAAGUUGUCCGCUUGUGAAUCAGUGUUCAAACCCACUCUAGACAUCAAGGAUAGAAUGAAACCAAAACUCUAUUUUCGGCAUGAGCCUACGACGACCCAAUACCCGAGCGGGGUAUUGGACCCAUUAGAAAACCUGCCCUGCGUCUAUUGACCCCGAGUUAAUUACAGAUGAAUCAUAUUUAUGUGUUGAAAACAUACAUGUUUGUCUAAUUCAAUCCAUUAUCCUUUGGGGUGAGGGGAAGCCUUAUCUUUGUCUGCUUUCAUGUAGGAUAUGGCUUAACCACAUGAGUGCAGAAGAGAGAAAGAUUGUUAGAACACACAUUGGGCAUCUCCCUUCUUUGAUCGAGAUGGACGCUUGGCCCAAAAUGAUCCAUGUACUAACAACUUUUUGGGAUGAUCAGAAUAUGGUAUUUCACUUCGGGGAUGUUGAGUUGACUCCUAUCAUUGAAGAGGUAUUGAUUUGUUACGAGAGUACGGAAAUGUGUUUUAAGAGAAGGGAGACACCGGAUAAGAACAUUUUAGUCCAAGUUGUAUGGGAUCGUCAAAAGAUCAAGGAGGUAUUUUUAACUGACUACGACACCUGGCUAGGAGAACGUGAUGGAACAAAUAUUACUUUGCGUGAGUUGUAUCGUUGGUUUGAAAGAUUCAAUGCUUUUCACAAAUUUGGGCGUAAAUUUGAGUCAGAAGCAAAAUGGAAGGAGACGAGAGCCUUUGCAUUUGCGGUAGGCCUACUUGGAACCAUGGUGUUCCCACAGAGGGAAAAUGGCAUAAUUCAUCUGAGGGUUGUCUCAGUGACCCAUGCACUCUUCUUUGGAAUGGAGUACGAUUCUAAAAAGGUAUUCCACAACUUAGCUCCCAUGAUUGUCACCGACAUAUAUCGAGCUUUGGGAAGAUGUCAAGUUGAAAAUCGUUUUUUUCAAGGCUGUAACCUUAUAUUACAGUGGUGGAUGAUGAUGCAUUUGGUGAAAAAUCCUACAACGGCACAACCUGACUACAAAACAAGGAGGAAUUUGCUAGAAUCGCACGGCAUGUGGUUGUUUUUACACAAGUUCAAAAGGGAAGCAUCUCAUGAAUUUUGGUUUAAGACUCUUGGAGAAUUAAGAGAUGACAAUGUCCAAUGGUCCCUUAACUAUCUUCAUUCAGGGAAAUACAUUAUUCGAGGGGGAGAGUGGCCUUUUCUAGUGCUUUCGGGUCUCAGGGGAAACCGUCCCUACAAUCUUGACAGAGUUCUUAGGCAAUUCGAGAUCAAGCAGGAGAUGCCUCAAAUCGAUUCGAUGCUCAGAUUCUUUACCAAAUAUGAUGAAAGUGAGCCCCCACUCAAAGACUACAUGAUAAACAGAUAGAGAAGAAGAAGGUGGAUGGAAGUCUCUUUUCGAAUAGGGUAUGAACCUGAAGUCAGUGACACUUACAAGGAGUGGUUAAAAAAGAGCCUCGACGGAGCAUUGAUUUCGAGGCCGAACGUGCCCACUCGGGUCGUGGAUGUAGAAUCCGAGCAUCAAAUUCGACUCCACAGGCUUCAGGAUGAAUUUCAGAAAAGUGAAAUCGUGCACCGACAGAUGCAUGUAUAAGAUGCUUUAACAAUACGUAUGUUGAGGGAAGAGUUGAAAAAAGAUAGGCAAGAGGCUGAUGAUGCUAGGCAGUGUUUAAUCGAUUUGGAUGAUUGCAUGGCCUCUAACCUCGAUAGUAUAGGAAAAAUAACUUACGACAGCAAGGCACAGUUAUGCGGGAGUCAUCUGAUCAUCAAUAGGUAUUAAAUAGCACAGGAGGUGAACAAGGCAAAGAAGGCAAAGGCAGACGAAGGGGCCUCUGGUAGCUAGUUUUUCUAUUUCCCCUGCGCGGGAACUUAUUUUCUUUUAUUUCCCUUUUUCCCUAAAGAUUGUAUCUCUCUUUUGUUAUAUUUUGUAGGCAUUUAUGUCCUUUUUCGUAUCUAUAUAAGUUGGGGGAUAAUGGAUUGACUUUAAGGAAGCAUAUAUUUUCUUCAAAAUUGUUAGGCCUGAACCCUUGGCUCAAAAAGGGUCACCCCAGUUAGGAUACGCAUUAUUAUAAUGUUUUGUGUUACAUAAUUGUCUAAUGUGCUUAUAUGUGUUUGUUUGGAUCAAAGGCAAGAUUAUCCACUAUGCUCCUAUGGAUAAAUUUGGCGAUGACUCAAACAACUCUAUGUGGUUAUUUCUUGUCAAAUAUUUUGCAUUACUUAUCACAUACGAAAACUAACACAUCUGCCUUUAAGUUGUUUUACUUUAUAGAUAAUAGAAACUACUCCGUGUUGAUAUAAGCUAGCAGAACAUCCCUACUUCACCGAGUCAAAAGCGCACAAAAUCCCAUCCUCUGACCAUCAUUCAAUAAUGACUGGAAAUAAUGAAGAAAACGUAUUAGCCAUCAGGGACAAUGUAAUAGCCGAACAGAGUGAGAUGAUUGCAGAACUCACAAGAAAUAUUGAAAUGUUGCAGGAGGAAAUAAAUCAUACUCGAGAUUUGGCUCACCUGGCCAUUACUGUUAAUGCUACCGCUCCAGGAGGACACAGGACUCCACUCCAAAUCCCUUCCCUUAGUACGCCUAUUCUUGGGGAUCAUCCAAAUAACAUAUCGUUCAUCUCUGCCCCUCCACUUGUCCAAAAUACCAAUCGUGAAAAUAACCCAGAUGCUUACCAUCCACAAAAUCCAACCCUAGCCCCACAAAAUCCUUCUCGAAUCUAUAAAAUUCAUUCCCACAUCCCCAGAACCCAUUGGUAAAUCCACAAAAUCCAUCCCCAGAUCUAUCAAAUCUGCCAAAUCUAUCUCCGAACCCAUAAACUUUAUUUCUGAAUUCACAGAAUCCCUCCCAAAUCCCACCAAGCUACUCUUAAACUCCACAAAAAUUUUCCAGUUUUCGAAACACUCUCCCCACCCACAAUCUAACUUCUUUUCAUCCACAAAAUCAAGUCGCCUUUCCAAAUCCUUCUUAUGUCAUCAUAUCCCCUGACAUCUAUAAUUUCUUUCCUAAUCUAGAGGUGGACCAUUACGAGGAGAAAGAGAAAGAGUGGAAGACCAAGCAUGAAAUGAAGUUGCUAGCUAUGAAUGAAGAGAUCAUAAGGAUCAAGGAAUCUCAUGGAGCGGGGAACAACGAUGGGUUAGGUUAUGAUGAUUUAUGUGUUCACCCUGGAGUAGAUCUACCAGAAGGGUAUAAGGUCCCUAAAUUUGAAGUGUUCGAUGACACCUAAAAUCUAAUGGCCCAUUUGAAAAGGUAUUAUGAUCAAAUGGUGGGAGUAAGGAAAAAUAAGGCAUUAUUAAUGUGCUUAUUCAACCGAAGCUUAAGUGGCGAAGCCUUAGAUUGGUUCACGUCUCAAGAACUAAAAAAAUGGACUAGUUGGAGGGCAUUGGCCAAAAGUUUCCUUAAUAGGUUUGCAUUCAACACUGAAAUAGUCCCUGACCGAUAUUCAUUAGAUUGGAUCAAGCAGAGGAAUGAUGAGUGUUUCCGAGGCUAUGCCUUCCAUUGGAGAAAAGAAGCUGCCAAAGUACAACCUCUCAUGUCUGAGGAAGAAAUAGUGUCUGUGUUCUAUCGCGCUCAAUAGGGAGAAUAUUAUACCAGGUUGGUAUCCGCAGUCCGAGCAACUUUCACAGAUUUAGUAAAGAUUGGGGAAUCGUUAGAGGAAGGCACCCGAACAGGAAAAAUUGCCAAAACCCCAAUAUCAUCUGAAUCUUCUGCAUUCUCAGAGAAGAAAAGAGAGGAUGUGACUGUGGUCUCUACUGAUUUUAUUGAUAAAUUGAAGAGGAAAUUCAAGCCUAGGAAUAUUCUUUCCUCACCACCAUCACUAAAUUUUCAGCCUAUAUUCUACGCCCAUCCCCAAUAUCAAGCUCCAAUUUCAAAUAUUUUACCCAGUGCCAAAUUUCGUAGCCAAAUUAUCAAUCUCAUGUUCAAGAUAUUCUUUCAAACAAUCAAAUAAAUGUCCAAAUGCCUCCAAACUAUCAUCAAGUACCUCCUCAUGCUAAUCAAAAUUAGUAUAACCACCCACGUGUAAGCCUCGAGAAGAAGCCUCCCAGAAAAUUCACUCCAUUGGCUGAAAGUCGUACCCAUCUCUUCGGAAGAUUGAUGAAGGUCGGUUAUUUACAGCCUAUUCCACCAAAGACUACCAAUCUCAAUUCUCUAUUCUUUCAUGUCGAUUAAGGAGCUCCAGGGCAUAAUACUGAAGAUUGCAUCAAUCUGAAACACAAGAUCCAGGACUUGAUUGACCAGGAGAUCAUCACUCUUCAGGCGCCGGCACCAAAUGUUGCUAGUAACACAUUGCCUAAUCAUGAGGGAGCCACGAUUAGCAUGAUCGAAAUAACAUGUGAAUGGGUAUCUAGCGAGAUAAUAUCUAAUGUGGAUUCACGAAACUCCAAAAAGACAUAAGGAGUGGAAAUGUUAGAGAAAGUUGUGGCUGCCUUGAGUAAGAAUUCGGAAGGAAUUAUUAAGCCUAUUAUGGUCCCGGAAAGAGCAUUUAAGCGUGGAGUAAUAUAUCAAUCAAGAAAAGAAGAUGAGAUCGAAGAUAAUUCAAAGGAGAGUCUAUUUAGGCCCUUGCCGAUCUUGUACCAGUCAUUUCCCGUACAUGAGAUAUCAAACGAUAAUGGUCUUGGGGAUGGAAUAAGCGAUCUGUUCGAAGGAUGCAAUGCUCUACCAGAUGAUUUACCAAAGUCCGGUGGGGUGAAAAAGAUUGCAUCAGAGGAGGCCUUGCAAAACUGUACCUCUAAUCCACUCAUAACCCGUCACCCAUCGUGGUAGAUGAAAAGGGCAAUUACUAAUAGUUUUUAAAAUCGGUGAUGAUCCGGAAGAGGCCCCGUGAUCCCCCCUUUUAUGUCUCAAAUUUUUAUUUCGUGUUUUACAACUUUCAAAAAGGCAUGGGCCCAUAUUUGUGUGGGUCAUGAGCCAUAGUUUUUAUUUAUUUUCCAAAAGGCCUCCCUAUAUUUAAGAAGUUAUUUUUUAAAAAUAUGAUUAUCUAGCAUGGUUUGUUUUGGUAGCAAUAAUUUAAAAACCUGUCAAUGUCAUGUCAUGUCAUGUCAAGGGUUAGACGAACAAAGUGAAGGAAAUAAUAAUGAACAGAAAGGGUGAUAAGAAGCAGUUAGUAGUAGAUACAGAGGAAUGUGAAAAUCAAAAGAAGCCCAACCUGGAGGACCCCUAAUCCUACCUGAGAUGGAUAGUCAAGAGUGCACCAAACCAAUCAAUUCUGAUGCGGUAAAGAGAUACUAUGCUUGAAAUAUGUUACAGUUUUUUGUUUCUUGGCUUAUUUGUAAUCGUCUUUAUAAUAGUAUCAAUUUUAUGAUAUGUAAUUGCCUAGAACCCCUUCCCUUUGUGUACAAACUACGUUUGACCUGAAUUCUCAAGAAUGAGAUACGUAGGCGGCCUACGUCGGCUUCAGUCAAUCCCUUAUGAAAAUUUAUCCUUUCCUUUUAUGUAUGAACUACGUGAUAACCUGAAUUCUCAAGAAUGAGAUACGCAGGCAGCCUAUGUCGGCUUUGAUCAACCCAAUAGAUUUUUCUAUAUAUCCUUAGCGUAGUCUUGAACUAUGUGUCCUGAACUACAUUUGACCUGAUUCCUGCUUCAACGGGAUACGUAGGCAUCCCAAUGGCUCGGUCAUAUAACCCCAAAAAAUGAAAACUGGGGCAGAAUUUUUGAGAAGGAAUCUCAAAAAUUCACAAGAGGAAGAUCGACAUCCAACAAGGAGAACAAAAACCAACAAAGACUUUGGAUCCUCUCGAGCUAAUAUCAUAUCAAACAACUUUAAACUGGGGCAGAAAUUUUGAGGAGGUCUUCAAAAUUUUCACUAAUAUAUUGAAAUGUAUUUCAAAUUCCCCAGUACCAGAGGGCAAAGUCAAACCUUUAAAGUCACUAGCUGCGACAAAAUCUAGGUGGACUUAAAUUUUGGCUAUGACAGAACUAUUUGAAGAACCCUCCAGCAAUGAUAAUGAGUUUUAGAAAUCCAUCGUUGGAUAAAGUCAGAACUAAGAGGAAGACAUUCGUUGAGCUAGUACAUGACAUAACUGGCAGAGAUUUUCUAAAGUUUUUAUAGAAGCUUUCGAAGCUAUUUUCUAAAAAUUAAGACUACUUUCAACAAUUUAUACAAAUCUUUUAUUUAGUACUUUCCUAGACAUCAAUCGAGAUGGAGAGUCAAGGGUGGAGGUACCAAUAUGAUGGGGCACCUGAAAGAUGGCGAGGAGCAAACCGAGCAGACAAGAAAGUCAACAAGGAAUAGUUUUAUUCAAACUAAUUAUUUUUUUGUGGAUACAUGGAUCAAUACACAAAAAUGAGUGAUGAUUUCAAAGAAUCCCCAAGCAAAUUGGGAGUCAUUCCAGAACAUAUAAUGCUUAAGAAUGGUACUUUUGGGUAGCCCAAAAUGGGUUUAAAACCCAUUUAUCGAGGACCAUUUGAAUUAUCCAUCCCAUUUUUUGAGGUCAUGAAAGACAAACAAAGGCGUCUUCUUUUCUUUACGAACAUUGCAUUUAGAAUUUUUCUAAAAAAUGGUCGCUAGCAAAAGCGACUUUGUGUCUACUAAUUGUCUACCUUGAGUACAGGUACAUGUAGAAAGCAAGACUUUGACAAAUGAAUUCAGGUGAAAUUGUUUUUAAAAUUACCGAAAGAACCAUUCAUAUCAUUGCCAAGAGGGCCAUUUCAUAUCAUUACCAAGAGGGCCAUUGCAUAUUAUUGCCAAGAGGGCCAUUGCAUAUCAUUGCCAAGAGGGUCAUUUCAUAUCAUUGCCAAGAGGGCCAUUCAUAUCAUCGCCGGGAGGGCCAUUGUAUAUUAUUGCUAAGAGGGUCAUUCAAUAUCUGUUGACACGUUGAGGAUAUCAUCAGCAUUCAAUAUCUAUUGACACACAAGACAUAAAUGUUGGCAUCGAGGAUAUCAUCAGCAUUCAAUAUCUGUAGACACGUAAGAUAUAAACGCUGGCGUCGAGGAUAUCAUCAGUAUUUCAUAUCUGUUGACAUGCAAGAUAUAAAUGCUGGCGUUGAGGAUAUCAUCACCAUUCAAUAUCUGUUGACACGUAAGACAUAAACAUUGGCGUCGAGGAUAUCAUCAGCAUUUCUAUCAGUCGACACGCAAGACAUAAAUGCUCGCAUCGAGGAUAUAAUCAGUAUUUCAUAUCUGUUGACACGCGAGACAUAAAUGCUGGCAUCGAGGAUAUCUCAUCAUUUUGUGAAUCAGCAUCUGAAUACAUCAAGAGCACACGAUUUGAAGAGAUAGUUUUAAGUCACCAUCUAAAGACGAAUGAUAUUUGGGAUUUCCUAGAAAUUGACAACUUGAGGAUCAUCUAUAAGUCAUAUUAUUUGAAAUAGGAUAGUGAGUAAGAUCACCUAUGAGUUGAUAGCCUGUAGGUCAUACGUAAGUUACAACAACAUCCUAAUCGGAUAGUGUGCAAGAUCGCCAAAAAAUUGAUAGUCUGGAGGUUAUGCAUAAGUCGCAACUAAAUACUUACUGGAGAAUAUGCGAGAUUAUCAAAUUGAUACGUCCAAGGGUUCUCUAUAAGCCGCAUCAUAUCCAAGAUCGAUUAUGUGCAGGAUUACCCAAGGACUAGCAAUUUGAGUGAUAUCUAUAAAUCAUAUUGUAUCCAAGGUCGGAUGAUGUGUGGGAACACCUAAAAGCUAACGAUUGGAGGGAUAUUUGUAAGCCAUCUCUUAUCCAAGGUCAGAUAAUGUGCAGGAUUACCUAAAAGCUAGCAAUUCAAAGGAUAUCUGUAAGUUGCCUCGUAUCCAACAUCAAAUAAUGCGCAAGAUUAUCCAAAGAUUGACAAUUUAAGAGAAAUUUAUAAAUCGAUCAUCGGCUAUAACCGGAGAGGUUAUCAUUCCACAUACAAAAGUGAUAUAGGUAACCAAAAGGGUUGCCAUACCAGCACAAGAUUAAACGGUUGUAGGGACUAUUCUGCAUAAAGUAUCGUCGGUACCAAAAAGGGCCACCCCAUUUUGAAGACAUAUUCAACCGAUAAACGUCAUAAUUAUACAACAACCAAGAUGGUUGUUGUGUUUGUCGUUGCCAAUUAUUUCAUUUCAAACAGGUACAUGGAAGGAUGACUUCGCUUCUUAGACAACAACUCACAUGGAGAUAUGAUCAAAAAACUAUAUGCCUCUUUCGUGAAUUAUUUUUAGCACUAACAAUUUUAUUUGAGAUAUUGUCGAGAGCAUUCGAGGGGAUAAAAAUCUCAAAUCAAACCCACAGGUGCGGACGACUUCAAAAAAGACACAGCACAAUGUGAAACUCUUUCUUAGUAGCAAAAUGAGAUAUAGUCUAGAGAGGGACGUCAAACUCUUUGGACGCGAGCUAUAGGAUGAUCACCACCACCAUCCAACCACACCCUUAUUAUAAGGCAUGUGGGUAUUUUUGGAUGUUCUAACUCUGAGCUUCAACUCCGAGAUAAUUCUCAACUCAUGCCGAGGGUAACCUUCUCUUUCUUUCAAAGUCGGGUGACAACAUACUCAGAGUUUGGAAAUUAUGUCUGGGUAAGAUCUUGUCUAUGGGUGUGAAGGAUCUCACAUUCAUGUUUAAGAGGUUAUAGGCCUCUUUUCCGAAAUUCGAUCAACUUGUCACUCAUCCUGAGCCAAAGAUCGUCUGAAAUAAAAGACUAUCUUUCCUACCGAUUGAGUCGAACUACAAGCAGUCUGAUUCCCUAAAAUAUUGGGGAUAUGUAGGCUGAGAUCUAUGUAGAAAACUCGACUGCAUUCCAACCUCCCCCAUAAUCCCUUUAUUCCCCAGCUUCUUGGUUUUAUCAAAAGCUCUAAAACCAAGAUAGCUUGUGAAUUUUCUUGAAAGUCGUGCUCAUGAUUUAUGAACUACAAGUGGCCUGAAUUCUCAUAUUACCUGAGAUAUGUAGGGAACCUGAUAUCGAGGUCCGGUCAUAAUUCUAAGAAACUUGUGUGAAAACCAACCUCUUUCAGAUUCGAAUUUGUGGUCCGACAAAAAUUAGAAACGUCAACCUCCCUUUGCCAAGGAUUACUUGUAUCCAUCCUAUCCAAAAGGAGGGCGUAGUUGUUGACACCUAAUUUUUGUCCUCCAUAAUCCAAUUUAAUUUUGAAUUUCUUCAAUUUUAAGAUAAAAUCACGACAAUUAUUUUAUUCAAAUAAAUAUAAUUUAAAAUGUUUAUUUGAGUUAAUUUUAUCAUUUAAUUAACGAUUAUACAUUUUGUUAUUUAAAUGAAUAUCUUAUCAAAUUAGACUUUUAUUGAUUAAACUUGAAAACUAAUCCAAAUGGAUAAAGUCUUGAUUUUAAAUAUGACUUGUUCUCAAAAUAUUUUAUUUGGAGGAAUAUUUGUUGGAUUUUUAUCAAAUUAAGAAACUUGAGGUUAAUUUGUUACUUAAUUCGUGCCAGAUUGCAAUUCAAUUUAGCGAACGAAUUGAUAUGACCUCAAUUGAAAUCCAAUUGGCCCAAUUGUAAUGUAGUUGACCAAUAGAUAUUCAAUUUGGUUAUAAUUUAAAUAAGUCGUUUAAAUUGUAAUUCAAUCUUAAUCCCAAAAGUUACCAUUUCUUAAUUGAAAUUAUUUUAAUCCGAUUAAAUUUAAUUUGAGUUAUUCUUAAUCCAAUUAAAUUUAAUUAUGAUUAUUCUAAUCUAAUUAAUUUUAGUUGGGUUUAUUUAAUAACCCAAUUAGAUUUAAUUGGGGUUAUUAAAUAACCCAAAUUAAAACUCAUUUUAACACCAUUCAACAGGCCCAAGCAAUAACCAGCUUCAGUGGCCCAUUCUCAUGCAUUUUUUUCCUCUCCAAUCAGCAAUAUUAGGCCCAAUAAUCUAUGACCCGGUCCAGCCAAAUACCCUUUACCCCUUAUCUUUUUUUUUUUUCAAACCAACAAAGGAAAAACAAAAAUCAGCAACAACAAUCGACCUUCAGCCUUAACACCAGCCAAAUCCUAAUCAACGUCUUCAACAUCGUGAACCAUCAACCCGAAUCAGACCCAAUUUCAACCCACCUGCAUGUUUCCUCAACGGCGAAACCUGUCCAAAUCCAAAAUCGGACUGCUCCGACAGUUGUACCCGAUCCCGUAAUCGACCCGACUUUGACCCGUUGAGUUGGCAUGCGGAAAAGACAAGAAAUCUUCUAGAAACACGCCUAGGUGUCUCCUCCAAGCGUUUAAAUCCCUAAAAAUUUAGAUUAAUCCGUACGAUUUCGUACAUAUUUGGUAAAAUUUCAUUGGUCCUUAGGGUAAUGAUCCACUUCCCCAAUUUCUAUUGGUUGAUAUUCUGAAAUCUGUUGGGGGGAUCUAAAAUUCGGACGUUUUCAAAAGUCCCAAGAAGACCCCUAUUCAUCUCCUAUAUAAGAAGUUUUUUGUUCUUUGAGGAAGGGGGAUUUUUUUUCUGCUUCUUCCCUUUUGGAUUCGAAAAAUCAAGGUGUUUUUUUUGGAGGAUUGGCUCUAGGGUUCUAAGUUUGGGGAUGAAAAAUUUGAAGAAUUUUUUUAGGGUUCUUUGGAGGCUGGAAAUUCUAGGUUUCGAAAUUCUGGGUUUGAAAAAUUGAUUGAGAGGCUGGGGGGUACGUUUUUCUGAGAGAAAUCUUGGUUCGGAAAAAUUGAGAGAGAAGGAAGAAAGGAAAAAGAAAGGAAACUUUUGGAGAAAUAUUAACUCUUUAGUAGAAAUCCUGUUCUUGUUUUGAAACUUGGUCGAAAUCAUCGAAGUAGUAGUGAAGCUUCGGUGGUGAUCAAUAUCCUGACGAUUAACUCGUGGUCCUGUUUUGCUACUCUCCAAAAGGUAACAUUCCUUUUCUGUUUUAAAUUUCGAUCUUUUCUGCUUCAUUUCAAUUUUCUGUAGCGAUAACUAAUUUUUUUUUGUGGUAACAUUGUGUGCUAAGAUUGAUUGCUGGUAGAUGGCUUUAAUAGCCAUAGGUGGCGUUCAUGAUAGUUGUCGUUAUGCUUUAUUCGAAUCGAUAUGUUUGCUGGGAAAUUUUUGGCUAGUUGAGUUUGUUUGUAAGUUUCAUGUGCCUAGGUCGGAGGUUGAAAAUUCAGGUAAAGAUUGGAACUUUGUGCGAUUUUAGUUGUUGGUGUGCAAAGUUUCCAUAUGUGUAGGAUCCAUUGAAUAGCCGGACCACAUUGAGUGCAUUUUGUGUCAUUUCAUCUUGCAUUCGUUCAAGUAGAUGCAUAAAUAGCUUAAAAAUGUAUGAACUCAAUUGUGUGUCAGUCAUGUAUACAUAGAUGUGGUGUGUAAAGUUGCUAAUUUUUCAACUAAUAUUAAUUUUGGAUUUCAUAAUUUCAAAUGUAUAAAUGGGGAAAAUUUGGCUACUUGUGUUGGUUAGUAAGUCUCAUAUGCUUAAGAUAGAGGUUAAAAUUUAGGUAAAAUCUAAACCUUUUUUACUGUUUAGUUAGUGGUGGAUUCAAAUCUCGGUAAACUAAGCUCUCUUUAUGAGUAAGGUUCGUUAAAGGGAUGGACCACAUUGAGUUUGUUGUUUGCUGAACCUACAUUUCAUUAACAUGAUCUCUUUAUUAAUCUUUAGGAUCGAUUUGAAUAUUCGUUUGAAACUGAAAACUAAAAAGGGUAUUUGAAAUCCAAGUCCAUUUAAUAAGUCGUCUUCAGUUAGUUGAUUCAUGGCUUUAUUCAUUUGCCUGCACCUAUCAGUGCUGAAGAAAGCGUUACUUUUCAACAUAUGGUUUGUCAGAAUGUUGGCUAGUUUUUCUAUCCAUUGUAGUUCAUGUUCGAAAUCACCUGUGGCAAUAUUCUUUUCAUCCUCAUCGGCAUCAAAGCUUCAUUAUUUGCAGUGAAUUAUUUUGUGGGAUAACGAAGUAACAAUAUUUUCAUAUGAUUGGAUAUUUUUUGUGCAUUUCAUGUUCUUGUACUGUAUCCAAUAUAACUGUUUGUUUGUAGAACACUGUAUAAGUUGACUAGCCUUGAUUUGUUCUACUUUGAGGAAAUUUUUCUAGUCAAGCUUUACCUGUGCUUCACCUAAAUGCUUCUUUGAUUAUCUAAGUGCUUAUGUGAUAGUAAAUAAUUUGUCCGUUUGCCUGAUUGUAGUGUUCAUUGAGGAUAAGUAUACCUAGACAUCAUGUGAAUUUGGUUUCUCAUUAGACUGUUAUGCCCAAGCAGAUAGGGAAAUACUCCUAAUGUGAAUUUGAUUUAUUAAAUUUUCCUGCAUGUUGUGCAUAAAUUUGGUCUUUUAUCGCUCAGUAAGUUUAUUCGAAUGCGCCCUGACCAAUAGGUAAAUUGUCUCCUGUUGAACUUUUGAUUGAAGUUUUAACUUCGCUAAACUAACGUGCUCAUCUCAUAUAUUUAAUAUUUGCCCGCUAUUAAAUAAGAUGCAUGAUAUUUUAGUAUUUUUGAAUAUUAGUUUGAACGUGUAUUAAUUACUUUAUUUUUCCUUCUUUCCUUUUGUAUGUGGAAACAUUCGAGUCUAAAUGGACUCUAUUCCCAUUGUUGCAUUAUCGAUGUGGGCCAUUGGAGCCAAUCCCUCAUGAGUCAAUUUUGAAGUCCCUAAGUAGACAAUCUUAUAGUACACGAAUACAAGGAAUCGAAAGAAGAAGAACGGGUUAAAAACCCACAUUUGAAGCGACCAAGAGACUUGAAAGUCUCGGUUUUCAUUUCAUUUAUUAUUGUUGUCUUUAUUUAUUCAGUUAUUAUUUUUAUUCAUUCAUCUGGACCACGAAUCCAAAGUUGUAAAUUUAAUACAGGUGGAGCGAGACUCAAGCCAAACGCUCGAAAACUAGAUUAGAACAGGUGAAAAUAGAUCGAAAGCCCAACUAGACUAGGAUAGGUCUCAUUGAUUUGGGCCCAAUGGUCUAAAUCCCUUCCUUUCUCCCUUUCUCCUUUUUCUUUAUGCUUGUUUGCCUUACGUGUUUUGUGAACCUAGUUAAAUCCUUAGUCAAGUCGCUAAAAAAUUGGUUUUGCAUAAACACAAAAAUAUUCCUAAAAUCGCUUUCUUUUCAAAAAUCAACUUCUUUCAAGGUUAAUCAAAGACGAUUUUCAAACAGUUCGAAUAACCGUAAGUUAGUAGAUGUUUUAGGUGCCUAACACCUUCCUAAAACGUUAAUAGGAACCGCUUAUUCAGAAUCUCUAACUUAAAUGAUUUUCCUGUUUUGAAUCGUUUGAAGUAACUCUCUAAAGGUUUUUUAAUUCCUUUUCAAAAUUAAGUGGCGACUCUCUCAAAAAGUCAAAAUUUCUUCACCAAACAAUGAUGAAUGUCUUACUUAUCAGUUCUGGUUUAUCUCUUAGUGUAAUUGAUGCACUCAUGUACCUUGCAAAUACUACAAGACCUAUAGCCUUUUCAGUUAAUUUGUUAGCAAGGUAUAUUUCUGCUCCUACUAUGAGACAUCAAAAUGGGAUAAAACACAUGAGCUUGUAUUAUUCUAAAGAUUGCACUCCCGAUCUUAUUGGUCAUGCUGAUGUUGGGUACUUAUUUGACCCGUAUAAAGCUCGGUCUCAAAUAGGCUAUGUGUUCAUAUGUGGUGGCACCGCCACAUCUUGGAGAUAUACAAAGCAGUCUAUCGUAGCAACUUCAUCGAAUCAUGAUGAGAUAAUAGCUAUUCAUGAAGCAAGCCGAAAAUGUGUAUGGUUGAGGUCCAUGAUACAUCUCAUUCGAGAAAAAUGUGGUGUGAAAUAUGAUAAUCUACCCACAAUUUUAUACAGAGAUAAUUCAGCAUAUAUUGCCAUCUUAAGGAAGGAUUCAUAAAUGGAGAUAAAACGAAGCACAUUUUGUCAAAGCUUUUCUACAUACAUGAGCUACAAAAGAAUGAGGAUAUUAACGUGCAACAGAUUCGUUCAACUGACAAUGUGACUGAUUUAUUCAUCAAAUCUUCUCCAAUUGCAACUUUCAAGAAGAUGUUGUACAAGAUCGAGAUGUAAAGGUCAAGGAUGUUCUCAUUAGGAGGAGUUAAUGCGCGUUAUACUCUUUUUUUCCUUUCGAGGUUUUGUCCCAUUGGGUUUCCCUUGUAAGGUUUUUAAUGAGGCAACCGAAAUGCGUAUUAUUAGAGAUGUGUACUCUUUUUCCUUCAUUAGAUUUUUUUUUCCUAUUGGAUUUUUUCUAGUAAAGUUUUAACGAGGCACAUUAUCUACCAAUUAGAUAUUCAAGCGGAGUGUUAUAAAUGUAUUUACAUUAUGGUGAAUGUCUAUCAAGAUCUACUUUGAUAUCUAUUAGGAUUUGAAGCAUCCGUCUUUUACUCAGACUAGAAGUAAAUUUUCCCUAUAAAUAGGGGUUUUGUUCAUUGUAUUUACAAUCAUAUAACCUCUC